GCUGUGAACCAGGAACUGGCUGGUCCUGGGAGCACAAAGAUGAGGAGAACAUGGUGCCUGUUCUUGAGGAGGGUGUGUGCAUGUGUGUGUGAGCAUGUGUGUGUGUGUGUGUGUGUGUGUGUGUGUGUGUUGUGUUGUUUUAGGGGUAUGUUUCUGCUGCACUGAGGAGGUUUGACCUCAGGGAAACUACCAGAGGGAAUGGUGUCUGAAGAGAAUCUUUAGGGCCAAAUAGGAAUUGCCCAAGUGGAAGGACAGGUGGAUACAUUGAGGAAGCAGAACUGAAGACGGAGCCCAGUCUUCUGAUUCCAGUUUAGAACUUUUUCCAUUGUUCUACUGUUACUCAUAGGAGGGAAGAUAUUUUUCCUCAGUUGGUGAGUCCUACGCAGAAAAGACUCUACCCUUUUGUAAUCAAUAUGCAUAUUUCAAUGAGUUUUAAAAGUCAGUGGUUUUCUCUUAAAGCAUGGGCACUGGUACCUGGGAUAGACUAAGAACUAAGAAGAACAAAAUGUUCUUCCUUUCUUCUGGAAUGGAUUUCAUUGGUGAUGGACAAGAUAUAAUACUUAUAAAAUGUGUGGCAAAGCAAAGGCAGACUCAGCUCUUGGAAGGUGGCAGGAAGAGAAAUUGGAAGAGGACUUUGGGUUGCCAAUAAUUACAUUACUUCCUUCUUUCUCCUUUGGCAUGGAGGGAAGUGUUCUUAAAAUUGAAUGACCAGAAAGUCUCAAUGAACAGUGUUAUGGGCAUUUGCGAGGAAAAGAGGCAGUAGUAUGGAAUGGCUAACCCCUGUGCAAGUUGUUUUUUCUGUGUUUUAUAGCAUUUUCACAACAACCCUUUGAGGUGGUGGAGGCUAAAUUUGCUUAGGCAAGGGUAUACACCUGUGCCUUUAAAGGGCCUGCGUGGGCUCCAUGGGGAUCUGAGUUUGAAUCCUCUUGCAUACUCAGAAAGGGGACUGGUGAGCAGGUAAGGUAAGCUUUCUUUUGUGUUUUGGAAUCCUCUGUGUUUAUAGCAGGUGGAAUAGAACAUCAUGUCCUAGAGAAGAAUCAGUGACAUGGGAUUUCCUGGGCUGUUAGGGAAUCGAAGGAAAAUAGCUGGGGGAUUCUGGGAAAGGCUUCUAUUUAGAAUUCUAGAUCUGUGCUCACCAUCCCCAGUGCUGCUCCCUAUGUGCCCUACCUCUAGCUUUUUGCCAGAUAAAUAAUAUAACUUGCCAUGUUUAUGGUGCAGUUUUUCAAAAGAGCAUGGAGGCUGUUGUGAUGUGAUCCAUAAGACCUAACUUCAUUUAGAAGUGUGGCUGAGUUUAUAGUUACAUUUUGCACACUUUUUUGUUCUUAAUCAGUGUAUCUUAAAAGAACACCCGACUUUCUUUGUGCCUAUGGAUCUGCAUAAGAUAAAAGGCUGGAAGCCACUGCUUUGACUCUUAAACAUUUCAAGUCUGUUAACAUUUCAAACAGAGUCUGGAAUGUUUUGCCCCAAGCAUACACUUUGAGCAUCAGAUGUAAAUCUUUGUUAUCUGCUCCACCUCCUGAGUGUUUUCAGUGCUUAAAGUUAAAUUGUGAUGAAUAUGAGGCCUUGUGUGUCAUGACAGAGUGGGAGAGAGCAUCUUAACUGGAGCAAGUUGGAAGAGACUGAGAUGGGUCUGCUGUCUGUAAGCUAAUUAUGAGCCUAGAGUGGCCUUUGUCUCCGAGACACCAAAGCAGCCUCAGAUUGCAUUAUAGAGAAAAUCCUGCUGAGUCCAGGGAGCCCAGUGGAUUGGUGAACCUCAGGCCCGUUUUUAGCAGGACCUGGGCUCUGUUCUCUGCAGUGCUCCUUGUUCUACCCUCUUAUAUUCUGGUGGCUUCAUCCUCAGGAUGUUCCCCCGCACCCCUGUGGUCAUGAGCUGGCUGCCUGCUGUCGCCUGGCAGCUCAGAGCAGCUACACAGUGGAGAAGAGGUAGUCCCUCCAAGGAAUACCAGGUGAGGUUAGCAGGCAGAGAGAGGACUAAAGCUUUGUGGACGACUACAAACCUUCUUUUUUACCCUCUCGUUGGAGUUCUCCUAGAGUGUUGGACUUUAGUUCUUGCCUCUGCCUCCAAAAGGGACAUUAACCAACUGGUCUCUCCACACUAGGAUGCUGAAAGUACCAGAAGUGAUCUCCCACCAGGAACCGUUACUGAAAUGAGACCUGGAAAAGGCAGGAUGCAGGGUACACAGGACAAUUGCCUUUAAGAAUAUAAAAUGUGGGGAGUUCCUGUUGUGGCUCAGUGGAAACAAGUCUUAUUGGUAUCCAUGAAGAUGAGUGUUUGAUCCCUGGCCUCACUCAGUGGGUUAAAAUCCUGCUUUGCCGUGAGCUGUGCUGUAGUUUGCAGAUGUGGCUCCUAUUCUGCAUUGCUGUGACUGUGGCAUAGGCCGGUAGCUGCAGCUCCAAUUUGACUCCUUGCCUGGGAACUUCCAUAUGCCACAGGUGUGGCCCUAAAAAGCAAAAAAAAAAAAAAAAAAAGCAAAAAAAAA
RNAcentral lists this long non-coding RNA (2480 nucleotides) under Sus scrofa (pig). Its description in RNAcentral is "lncRNA (ENSSSCG00045001384.1)". Lineage: Eukaryota; Metazoa; Chordata; Mammalia; Artiodactyla; Suidae. The record is from RNAcentral.